UACCUGAUGGUAUGAUGAGAUUGCAUGAUAGCAUCAUUAAAGAUUUAUCGGUGUACGAUGGGGAUGCGUUCCAUUAGGUAGUAGGCGGGGUAACGGCCCACCUAGCCGACGAUGGAUAGGGGUUCUGAGAGGAAGGUCCCCCACAUUGGAACUGAGACACGGUCCAAACUCCUACGGGAGGCAGCAGUGAGGAAUAUUGGUCAAUGGACGAGAGUCUGAACCAGCCAAGUAGCGUGAAGGAUGAAGGUCCUACGGAUUGUAAACUUCUUUUAUAAGGGAAUAAAACCUCCCACGUGUGGGAACUUGUAUGUACCUUAUGAAUAAGCAUCGGCUAACUCCGUGCCAGCAGCCGCGGUAAUACGGAGGAUGCGAGCGUUAUCCGGAUUUAUUGGGUUUAAAGGGAGCGCAGACGGGUCGUUAAGUCAGCUGUGAAAGUUUGGGGCUCAACCUUAAAAUUGCAGUUGAUACUGGCGUCCUUGAGUGCGGUUGAGGUGUGCGGAAUUCGUGGUGUAGCGGUGAAAUGCUUAGAUAUCACGAAGAACUCCGAUUGCGAAGGCAGCACACUAAGCCGUAACUGACGUUCAUGCUCGAAAGUGUGGGUAUCAAACAGGAUUAGAUACCCUGG
This 625-nucleotide ribosomal RNA is filed under the name uncultured bacterium. RNAcentral's name for it is "bacterial SSU rRNA". It matches the Rfam family "Bacterial small subunit ribosomal RNA", at positions 167 to 790 of the family's 1533-position model. The record is from RNAcentral.